CUUUGGUCCAUUGCUACAUAGGCGCCUGUCAUCAUUGGUACAUUAUGCCCAGUGAGAUUAGGAUUUGCUUGCGGGAUGUUUGCGUUGUUCACAACAUAUUGCUGUCUCGAGGGUGGUGGUUGUGUUUGCGGUUGUGUUGUCGUGUUUUGUAAGUAUUGCAAUUCAUCCACUUCCUCUUGCAAUUCUACCAAUUGUUUUUUUUCUUGAUUUAGUUUUGCUAUUUUUUAGGCUGCUAGUCGUUGGGCAAAUCUUUCUUUUUCUUAUUUCAGAGUCUCGAGUUGUUUUAGCACCAAGGCCGAUUCCUUUUCUGUUUCUCCGAGUAAAUCAUUUCUCUCUUUACAACGGGGUAGGGCUCCCCUUUUAUAGUGAUCCAUGACCUACUUUACAUUCCAAGAAUGUCCUUACUCAACCACUACAUUCCUAGGAUAUGCCGUAUAUAAGGGUCAUUGAAGAAAAUGUGUACAAAUUGAACUCUUCCACAUGGUCACGUUUCUCACACCUUCCGCCUUCUAACCUUGAGAUUUCAUCUUCAUUCAAAGCUGAUCAUCA
RNAcentral lists this long non-coding RNA (549 nucleotides) under Setaria viridis. RNAcentral's name for it is "long non-coding RNA (SVIR_LNC001517)". Lineage: Eukaryota; Viridiplantae; Streptophyta; Magnoliopsida; Poales; Poaceae. The record is from RNAcentral.